Molecule: ribosomal RNA, 428 nt
Filed under: uncultured bacterium
Lineage: Bacteria
Description: bacterial SSU rRNA
Rfam family: Bacterial small subunit ribosomal RNA
Source: RNAcentral
AAUGAACGCUGGCGGCGUGGAUUAGGCAUGCAAGUCGAACGAGAAAGCGAAUUUAUUCGCGAGUAAAGUGGCGAACGGGUGAGUAACGCGUGGGAAACCUGCCUUCGAGCGGGGGAUAACAUUCCUAACGGAAUGCUAAUACCGCAUAAUAUCACAGGUCGCAUGAUCUGUGAUCAAAGAUGGCCUCUACAUGUAAGCUAUCACUUGAAGAUGGUCCCGCGUCCCAUUAGCUUGUUGGUAGGGUAACGGCCUACCAAGGCUUCGAUGGGUAGCCGGCCUGAGAGGGUGACCGGCCACACUGGGACUGAGACACGGCCCAGACUCCUACGGGAGGCAGCAGUCGAGAGGCUUCGGCAAUGGGGGAAACCCUGACCGAGCGACGCCGCGUGGACGAUGAAGUUUUUCGGAACGUAAAGUCCUGUCAUACG